UUAAGUUCAGCGGGUAUCCCUACCUGAUUCGAGGAGUUCCAAUGUCUUUUUGCUUGCCAUCCCCGGCCCGGACGGACGGGGAAGGGCCGGCAGCCUCGCGGCGCGAGAAAAACUAGCGCGUCACAUCAUCCUCGGCCACCCUGCGGGCGUCUGCCAUUGGAUUCCAGCGCGGUGGCUGCCGCCUCGGGUACGCCACCGCU
This 200-nucleotide unclassified non-coding RNA is filed under the name Helvella sp. Its description in RNAcentral is "partial internal transcribed spacer 2". Lineage: Eukaryota; Fungi; Ascomycota; Pezizomycetes; Pezizales; Helvellaceae. The record is from RNAcentral.